GAUGAACGCUAGCUACAGGCUUAACACAUGCAAGUCGCGGGGCAGCAUGAAUUUAGCUUGCUAAAUUUGAUGGCGACCGGCGCACGGGUGAGUAACGCGUAUCCAACCUUCCCUUAUCCACGGGAUAGCCCGUCGAAAGGCGGAUUAAUACCGUAUGAGGUCAUUUGAUGGCAUCUGAUUAUGACGAAAGGUUUGGCGGAUAAGGAUGGGGAUGCGUCCGAUUAGCUUGUUGGCGGGGUAACGGCCCACCAAGGCGACGAUCGGUAGGGGUUCUGAGAGGAAGGUCCCCCACAUUGGAACUGAGACACGGUCCAAACUCCUACGGGAGGCAGCAGUGAGGAAUAUUGGUCAAUGGGCGAGAGCCUUGAACCNGCCAAGUAGCGUGCAGGAUGACGGCCCUAUGGGUUGUAAACUGCUUUUAUGCGGGGAUAAAGUGGGGAUGCAUCCCUUUUUGCAGGUACCGCAUGAAUAAGGACCGGCUAAUUCCGUG
RNAcentral lists this ribosomal RNA (490 nucleotides) under uncultured bacterium. RNAcentral describes it as "bacterial SSU rRNA". It matches the Rfam family "Bacterial small subunit ribosomal RNA", at positions 28 to 507 of the family's 1533-position model. The record is from RNAcentral.